Hevea brasiliensis (rubber tree) is the source of this 642-nucleotide long non-coding RNA. RefSeq lists it as uncharacterized. Lineage: Eukaryota; Viridiplantae; Streptophyta; Magnoliopsida; Malpighiales; Euphorbiaceae. The transcript has 3 exons. The record is from RefSeq and is a predicted model, not a curated record.
UCCGAUUUUUGCUCGGGAAGAUUUUAGCCCAUUUUGACUUUUGGGCUAGAUUUCUCGAAAACCGUGAAUCCCACGAGAAAACCGAGGCCACCAGCACGCUCCAUUCGUCGAGAGCUUCGCAACGACAUAAAUUUUGAAUUUUUCCGACACCGUUUUUCGGUAUCCUCGAUUCGUGGAAAUUCGACAGUUGACCGGGUCUGCAAAUUUCGGGCCAGACAGACCCGUUACCGGAAAAGUCUCCGAAUUGGACCGAGGUUUUGGCUAGCCCCCCAUUGUCAGACGUCCCGAGCGCGUUCCCGAAGUCGGAAUCGGCAAAGGUGAGCCGGGACAGCCUUCUUCCUCCGCUCAGCCGCCUCAGUGACCAUCGUCAAGUCUGUGAGUAGAAUAUUAAUUUUAAUUGUAAUUUCGAUAUUAUUAUAUGUUCAAGCAUGCCCAUGCAUCACUUAUAUGCAUAUAUUUAUGUAGUUAAACUCUAGGCACGAUUUAUGUUGCAUUCAUAACUGUUGAUGUGCCAUGGAUGUUGUUGUGGUAAUUUGGAGCAGUGUGCGUGCGUUGGCGUGCGUGUGAUGUGGUGUGGACUAUGGAUAGGACGGGGCAGUCACGGCUUGAGUAAUUCGCUGGGACCCUCGAUUUGGUUAAUAA